CAGAAGUUAGUUAAUUCAUAACAUAUAUUUGUCAUAUUUAAAUUGCCUUUUCGGCACUUCUUA
RNAcentral lists this transfer RNA (63 nucleotides) under Neilupotamon xinganense. RNAcentral describes it as "tRNA-Asp". The record is from RNAcentral. Lineage: Eukaryota; Metazoa; Arthropoda; Malacostraca; Decapoda; Potamidae.